GCUGGCUCAGUUGGUAGAGCAUGUGACUCUUGGUCUCAGGGUGGUGGGUUCAAGCCCCACACUCAGCA
Molecule: transfer RNA, 68 nt
Filed under: Ailuropoda melanoleuca (giant panda)
Lineage: Eukaryota; Metazoa; Chordata; Mammalia; Carnivora; Ursidae
Rfam family: tRNA
About the family: Transfer RNA (tRNA) molecules are approximately 80 nucleotides in length. Their secondary structure includes four short double-helical elements and three loops (D, anti-codon, and T loops). Further hydrogen bonds mediate the characteristic L-shaped molecular structure. tRNAs have two regions of fundamental functional importance: the anti-codon, which is responsible for specific mRNA codon recognition, and the 3' end, to which the tRNAs corresponding amino acid is attached (by aminoacyl-tRNA synthetases). tRNAs cope with the degeneracy of the genetic code in two manners: having more than one tRNA (with a specific anti-codon) for a particular amino acid; and 'wobble' base-pairing, i.e. permitting non-standard base-pairing at the 3rd anti-codon position.
Source: Rfam by way of RNAcentral